UAGCACAUACGCUGUCAUGGUUUGUGCUGAGUCUAACUGUGUGUUGUGCUGAGUUUUUUCUGUGUGCAGGUGGGUGUGCCUGGAGAGCAGCUGCUGCCUAUCUGCUCAUCAGUGGUCAGGGGAUUUAAGGAGCGUCGGGACAACUCAUCAGUGCCGGAUGAUACUCAACAUUGGGAGCUUCUCCUCCUCCAACCAAACCUCCAACAUCUGAAAAUAGACUCACCGGAUUUGAACCCUGCCUGCCAGCCCGUCGCUCGCCCCUGACCGCCUGCUCUCCUACCCCCACCUGCCAACCUGGACAACCCGAACUCUGGUGCUCAGCUCCCAGCCACACCUGACACUCACUUGACCAGCUCAGCCAGCCAUGACUUGUCUCCACCCUCUCUAUGCCUUUACCAACAACCAGGAAACCAACUCUACCAGAACCACUCGAACUCAGACCAUCAUCUUCACCUCCCAUUGUACAUAAAAAUAAACCCUUUUUACUUAC
Long non-coding RNA from Nothobranchius furzeri (turquoise killifish), 490 nucleotides. RefSeq lists it as uncharacterized. Lineage: Eukaryota; Metazoa; Chordata; Actinopteri; Cyprinodontiformes; Nothobranchiidae. The record is from RefSeq and is a predicted model, not a curated record.